AGAGUUUGAUCCUGGCUCAGGACGAACGCUGGCGGUGUGCUUCACACAUGCAAGUCGAGCGAAUGAAGUAGGUAGCUUGCUACUUAUGGAUUUAGCGGCGGACGGGUGAGUAAUAUAUAGGAAUCUGCCUUAGAGCGGGGAACAACAGACCGAAAGGUUUGCUAAUGCCCCAUAGGUAUGCAGUCUUCGGAUUGUAUAUUAAAGGAGUAAUCCACUCUAAGAUGAGCCUGUAUCCGAUUAGCUAGUUGGCGGGGUAAAGGCCCACCAAGGCUACGAUCGGUAGUUGGUCUGAGAGGAUGAUCAGCCACAAUGGGACUGAGACACGGCCCAUACUCCUACGGGAGGCAGCAGUGGGGAAUUUUACACAAUGGGGGAAACCCUGAUGUAGCGACACCGCGUGAACGAAGAAGCCUUUUGGGGUGUAAAGUUCUGUCGGCUGGAACGAAAAAAAUGACGGUACCAGCAAAGGAAGCAUCGGCUAACUACGUGCCAGCAGCCGCGGUAAGACGUAGGAUGCAAGCGUUGUCCGGAUUUAUUGGGCGUAAAGAGUUCGUAGGCGGUUAUUUAAGUCUGAUGUUAAAUACUGUGGCCCAACCACAGAACUGCAUUGGAUACUGGAUGACUUGAGUGCGGUAGAGGCAAGUGGAAUUCCCAGUGUAGCGGUGAAAUGCGUA
This 674-nucleotide ribosomal RNA is filed under the name uncultured bacterium. RNAcentral describes it as "bacterial SSU rRNA". It matches the Rfam family "Bacterial small subunit ribosomal RNA", at positions 8 to 692 of the family's 1533-position model. The record is from RNAcentral.